Long non-coding RNA from Homo sapiens (human), 1274 nucleotides. Ensembl annotates it as long intergenic non-protein coding RNA 2981. NCBI's taxonomy places the organism in Eukaryota, Metazoa, Chordata, Mammalia, Primates, Hominidae. The record is from Ensembl.
GCACCGCAUCGCCGCUUUGCCCCGCGACCGCGCGCGCCUCCUCGUCCUCCCCCGCGCCUUUGUUUCCGUCUCCUUCUCCUUUCCCUCCUCUUUUGUGUCGGGCCAGACUCAGCCCCAGAAACCAGCCACCCUGCCGCGUCCGACUGCCAGGGAUCCCUCACGCCGCGAGGUGGAGUCUCGCUCUGUCGCCCAGGCUGGAGUACAGUGGUGCGAUCUUGGCUCCCUGCAACUUCUGCCUCCCAGGUUCAAGCGAUUUUCCUGCCUCAGCUUCCUGAGUAGCUGGGACUACAGUACCAGAGAUGUCUCCAAGAGCACCAGCAACCCCAGCUAUCUGGAUCUGAAGUGGAUAUGCUCAGAGACAUCCUGGCCCACCCCAAAGAAGAUGCUGCUGCACUCAGAAGACGCCAGAGCUAGCCACCACCCACACUGCAAGUCUGGAAGCUCUGCAAGGACCCAGCAAGGCAGCCUGCUCAGCGAAGGCUUUGUCUCCUGUGGCAGGAAGAGCAACAUUAAGAACAAGAACCCCGGGCUGGACUACCCCUGAGAUUUAAUGACCAGAGCUGAGACCCCCAAGACCACAAUGACUAUGGAGGGCUGUCAUUACCCUGCCUGACCCUCUAAUGCCUCUCAGUUCAAGGAGGCCACUGAGUGAAACUGAAGGCUGGUUUUCCUUGGAAGCCAGCGGCCCAUCCACCUGCUCCACUUCCCUGCCUCUUGCAGCCUCCGCUCAAACACUGUCGUGGCUUGGCAGCACUACAAGGCAGAGUGAAAACAGAUACUUCUACCCACAUUCCUAUCUCCUCUCAUUUACGCAGAUUAAAUGCUUUCUUUCCUUGUUUUACACUGCUAGGAUUUUCAUCACCCUGUUUUUUCUUUCUCUACAUCAGCUACAAGAAAAAAAAAAGGAGUUACUGAGCAACUAAGAAGUCACAACUGUUUUCAGUUUUAUUAAUGAGUUGUUAUACUUAUUUUAUAGAUAGAGAAUUACCAUUAUAACAUUGCUCCAUUGCCCACUCAUCCAUUCACGCAUCUGUCCAUCCGUCCAUCCACCCAUUUGUCCACUCCCCAAAUGGUCAUCAAUUGUCUACUGUGAGCCAAGCAAAGUGCUCCUUACUUUGGACUCUGAAUCCAGUGCUCUUUCUACUUCACCAUAGACACAUGCCCCUUGAGUAUAAGGGAGCUUGAUUCAUUCAACAAAUAUCUGUUGUCCAUCUCCAAUGUACUGGCAUAUUCUAAAUGCAUCCAACAAAAACCAAAAUGAAAAAAAAGAAAAA